This 77-nucleotide transfer RNA is filed under the name Orientia chuto str. Dubai. Its description in RNAcentral is "tRNA-Met". It matches the Rfam family "tRNA". Rfam says of the family: Transfer RNA (tRNA) molecules are approximately 80 nucleotides in length. Lineage: Bacteria; Pseudomonadati; Pseudomonadota; Alphaproteobacteria; Rickettsiales; Rickettsiaceae. The record is from RNAcentral.
AGGCCUAUAGCUCAGUUGGUUAGAGCCCCUCGCUCAUAACGAGGUUGUCACAGGUUCAAGUCCUGUUAGGCCUACCA